GCCCAGCUGAGCUCCGGUGGUCCGGUGUGCAGGCUUCAAACCUGUAGCUGAUUAACGUCAGAGUGGUUCGAUUCCACCUGCUGGGUG
This 87-nucleotide transfer RNA is filed under the name Schistocerca americana (American grasshopper). RNAcentral's name for it is "tRNA-Sec". It matches the Rfam family "Selenocysteine transfer RNA". Lineage: Eukaryota; Metazoa; Arthropoda; Insecta; Orthoptera; Acrididae. The record is from RNAcentral.